GAUGAACGCUGGCGGCGUGCCUAAUACAUGCCAGUCGAGCGAACAGACGAGGAGCUUGCUCCUCUGACGUUAGCGGCGGACGGGUGAGUAACACGUGGAUAACCUACCUAUAAGACUGGGAUAACUUCGGGAAACCGGAGCUAAUACCGGAUAAUAUAUUGAACCGCAUGGUUCAAUAGUGAAAGACGGUUUUGCUGUCACUUAUAGAUGGAUCCGCGCCGCAUUAGCUAGUUGGUAAGGUAACGGCUUACCAAGGCAACGAUGCGUAGCCGACCUGAGAGGGUGAUCGGCCAUACUGGAACUGAGACACGGUCCAGACUCCUACGGGAGGCAGCAGUAGGGAAUCUUCCGCAAUGGGCGAAAGCCUGACGGAGCAACGCCGCGUGAGUGAUGAAGGUCUUCGGAUCGUAAAACUCUGUUAUUAGGGAAGAACAAAUGUGUAAGUAACUAUGCACGUCUUGACGGUACCUAAUCAGAAAGCCACGGCUAACUACGUG
RNAcentral lists this ribosomal RNA (497 nucleotides) under uncultured bacterium. Its description in RNAcentral is "partial 16S ribosomal RNA". It matches the Rfam family "Bacterial small subunit ribosomal RNA", at positions 28 to 507 of the family's 1533-position model. The record is from RNAcentral.